Molecule: small RNA, 28 nt
Filed under: Bombyx mori (domestic silkworm)
Lineage: Eukaryota; Metazoa; Arthropoda; Insecta; Lepidoptera; Bombycidae
Description: ovarian small RNA-33147
Source: RNAcentral
UGAUUGUAGUCGUCGCUGUCUCCACUGC